Small nucleolar RNA from Choloepus hoffmanni (Hoffmann's two-fingered sloth), 130 nucleotides. The record is from Ensembl. NCBI's taxonomy places the organism in Eukaryota, Metazoa, Chordata, Mammalia, Pilosa, Megalonychidae.
UUGGCCCUGAAUCAAGGCCAGCAUUUUGAUGGAGCUUUUGGUUUCAGCAAGAGCCUAAAGAAAUGUCUUCGUAUGGUCUGUUGACCAUUUCAGAACUUUGGAAAUGUCAAUUCAUUAGAAAGAAACAUCU